Molecule: ribosomal RNA, 1294 nt
Filed under: Lactiplantibacillus plantarum
Lineage: Bacteria; Bacillati; Bacillota; Bacilli; Lactobacillales; Lactobacillaceae
Description: bacterial SSU rRNA
Rfam family: Bacterial small subunit ribosomal RNA
Source: RNAcentral
CUGGUGAGUAACACGUGGGAAACCUGCCCAGAAGCGGGGGAUAACACCUGGAAACAGAUGCUAAUACCGCAUAACAACUUGGACCGCAUGGUCCGAGCUUGAAAGAUGGCUUCGGCUAUCACUUUUGGAUGGUCCCGCGGCGUAUUAGCUAGAUGGUGGGGUAACGGCUCACCAUGGCAAUGAUACGUAGCCGACCUGAGAGGGUAAUCGGCCACAUUGGGACUGAGACACGGCCCAAACUCCUACGGGAGGCAGCAGUAGGGAAUCUUCCACAAUGGACGAAAGUCUGAUGGAGCAACGCCGCGUGAGUGAAGAAGGGUUUCGGCUCGUAAAACUCUGUUGUUAAAGAAGAACAUAUCUGAGAGUAACUGUUCAGGUAUUGACGGUAUUUAACCAGAAAGCCACGGCUAACUACGUGCCAGCAGCCGCGGUAAUACGUAGGUGGCAAGCGUUGUCCGGAUUUAUUGGGCGUAAAGCGAGCGCAGGCGGUUUUUUAAGUCUGAUGUGAAAGCCUUCGGCUCAACCGAAGAAGUGCAUCGGAAACUGGGAAACUUGAGUGCAGAAGAGGACAGUGGAACUCCAUGUGUAGCGGUGAAAUGCGUAGAUAUAUGGAAGAACACCAGUGGCGAAGGCGGCUGUCUGGUCUGUAACUGACGCUGAGGCUCGAAAGUAUGGGUAGCAAACAGGAUUAGAUACCCUGGUAGUCCAUACCGUAAACGAUGAAUGCUAAGUGUUGGAGGGUUUCCGCCCUUCAGUGCUGCAGCUAACGCAUUAAGCAUUCCGCCUGGGGAGUACGGCCGCAAGGCUGAAACUCAAAGGAAUUGACGGGGGCCCGCACAAGCGGUGGAGCAUGUGGUUUAAUUCGAAGCUACGCGAAGAACCUUACCAGGUCUUGACAUACUAUGCAAAUCUAAGAGAUUAGACGUUCCCUUCGGGGACAUGGAUACAGGUGGUGCAUGGUUGUCGUCAGCUCGUGUCGUGAGAUGUUGGGUUAAGUCCCGCAACGAGCGCAACCCUUAUUAUCAGUUGCCAGCAUUAAGUUGGGCACUCUGGUGAGACUGCCGGUGACAAACCGGAGGAAGGUGGGGAUGACGUCAAAUCAUCAUGCCCCUUAUGACCUGGGCUACACACGUGCUACAAUGGAUGGUACAACGAGUUGCGAACUCGCGAGAGUAAGCUAAUCUCUUAAAGCCAUUCUCAGUUCGGAUUGUAGGCUGCAACUCGCCUACAUGAAGUCGGAAUCGCUAGUAAUCGCGGAUCAGCAUGCCGCGGUGAAUACGUUCCCGGGCCUUGU